AAUCAGUUACAGCCACAACAACAACUAAUGAUACUUCAACAAAACUACAAGUCUAUCGAGUUUGGUGGUGGUAUGUUGCAGUUGCAGCUCUCUUAAUAACUGUUGUUAUUGUUGUUGGAUUCAUCAUAUGGAAGAAAACUAAAGG
Long non-coding RNA from Micropterus salmoides (largemouth bass), 145 nucleotides. RefSeq lists it as uncharacterized. The record is from RefSeq and is a predicted model, not a curated record. The transcript is spliced from 2 exons. NCBI's taxonomy places the organism in Eukaryota, Metazoa, Chordata, Actinopteri, Centrarchiformes, Centrarchidae.